CCCUGGGCUCGCGGAGCUUCCACUGCGGCUGCGCGGCUGGCUGAGGAGGGCGGGGGGUGGCGUGCGGCUUCUACUGUUGCUGCUCACGCCAGACGCAAGCUCUCUAGUCCUCUUCUUGCGGCUCCUCCCUCCAGUCAAGUUCCGUCUCGGCUAGUGUGGAGCCUACGCUCUUUG
RNAcentral lists this long non-coding RNA (174 nucleotides) under Ursus americanus (American black bear). Its description in RNAcentral is "TTC28 antisense RNA 1 conserved region 1 (ENSUAMG00000012266.1)". It matches the Rfam family "TTC28 antisense RNA 1 conserved region 1". Lineage: Eukaryota; Metazoa; Chordata; Mammalia; Carnivora; Ursidae. The record is from RNAcentral.